Molecule: ribosomal RNA, 399 nt
Filed under: uncultured bacterium
Lineage: Bacteria
Description: bacterial SSU rRNA
Rfam family: Bacterial small subunit ribosomal RNA
Source: RNAcentral
GAGGGGCAGCAUGAAUUUAGCUUGCUAAGUUUGAUGGCGACCGGCGCACGGGUGAGUAACACGUAUCCAACCUGCCGAUGACUCGGGGAUAGCCUUUCGAAAGAAAGAUUAAUACCCGAUGGCAUAGUUCUUCCGCAUGGUAGAACUAUUAAAGAAUUUCGGUCAUCGAUGGGGAUGCGUUCCAUUAGCUUGUUGGCGGGGUAACGGCCCACCAAGGCAUCGAUGGAUAGGGGUUCUGAGAGGAAGGUCCCCCACAUUGGAACUGAGACACGGUCCAAACUCCUACGGGAGGCAGCAGUGAGGAAUAUUGGUCAAUGGGCGCUAGCCUGAACCAGCCAAGUAGCGUGAAGGAUGACUGCCCUAUGGGUUGUAAACUUCUUUUAUAUGGGAAUAAAGUGC